ACCGGAUAGGACGAAAGUUUAAAGGUGCUUCGGCACCACUGAUGGAUGAGCCUGCGGCGCAUUAGCUAGUUGGUAGGGUAAAGGCCUACCAAGGCGACGAUGCGUAGCCGACCUGAGAGGGUGAACGGCCACACUGGGACUGAGACACGGCCCAGACUCCUACGGGAGGCAGCAGUAGGGAAUCUUCGGCAAUGGGCGAAAGCCUGACCGAGCAACGCCGCGUGAAUGAUGAAGGCCUUCGGGUUGUAAAAUUCUGUUAUAAGGGAAGAAUGGCUCUAGUAGGAAAUGGCUAGAGUGUGACGGUACCUUAUGAGAAAGCCACGGCUAACUACGUGCCAGCAGCCGCGGUAAUACGUAGGUGGCGAGCGUUAUCCGGAAUUAUUGGGCGUAAAGAGCGCGCAGGUGGUUGAUUAAGUCUGAUGUGAAAGCCCACGGCUUAACCGUGGAGGGUCAUUGGAAACUGGUCAACUUGAGUG
RNAcentral lists this ribosomal RNA (476 nucleotides) under uncultured Bacillota bacterium. Its description in RNAcentral is "bacterial SSU rRNA". It matches the Rfam family "Bacterial small subunit ribosomal RNA", at positions 168 to 648 of the family's 1533-position model. The record is from RNAcentral. Lineage: Bacteria; Bacillati; Bacillota.